Molecule: long non-coding RNA, 333 nt
Filed under: Brachypodium distachyon (stiff brome)
Lineage: Eukaryota; Viridiplantae; Streptophyta; Magnoliopsida; Poales; Poaceae
Description: long non-coding RNA (BDIS_LNC004428)
Source: RNAcentral
UUUCGGUUAAUAUGAUUUUUGGUUAAUACUGGUUCUUAAGGUUUUGUACUAAAACUUGUUUCGGUUUCGGUAAUAGCCAUCCAUUAUCCGUUCAGUUUCGGUAAUAGCCAAACUGAUGAGAAAUUUUAAGCAACACAUAACAAAAUAUUAUACACCUUGCUUUAAGACCGACCAAAAUAAUAAAAAAUUAAAAUUGUUUUCAUUUCUUCUUAAUAUGUUCUCUCUUGAGGAGAAUCAAAUAUCCAAGCAUUCAUGAUCGCCCGAAAAAAAAUGCCCAAACGUGCAUCGCGUAAUUGAUUCUACUACUUAGCACUGCACUGCUGCGCUGGUACC